This 89-nucleotide transfer RNA is filed under the name Planctomycetaceae bacterium. RNAcentral describes it as "tRNA-Ser". It matches the Rfam family "tRNA". Rfam says of the family: Transfer RNA (tRNA) molecules are approximately 80 nucleotides in length. Their secondary structure includes four short double-helical elements and three loops (D, anti-codon, and T loops). Further hydrogen bonds mediate the characteristic L-shaped molecular structure. tRNAs have two regions of fundamental functional importance: the anti-codon, which is responsible for specific mRNA codon recognition, and the 3' end, to which the tRNAs corresponding amino acid is attached (by aminoacyl-tRNA synthetases). tRNAs cope with the degeneracy of the genetic code in two manners: having more than one tRNA (with a specific anti-codon) for a particular amino acid; and 'wobble' base-pairing, i.e. permitting non-standard base-pairing at the 3rd anti-codon position. The record is from RNAcentral. RNAcentral also lists the same sequence under 2 other names. Lineage: Bacteria; Pseudomonadati; Planctomycetota; Planctomycetia; Planctomycetales; Planctomycetaceae.
GGAGAGAUGCCAGAGUGGUCGAAUGGACCGGUUUGCUAAAUCGGCGUAGCCCGUAAGGGCUACCGGGGGUUCGAAUCCCCCUCUCUCCG